CUCCGUACCGUAAACGCAGCGGAAACUUCUCUCUUUAUUUUUUCUAGGACAAAAGGCAACUUAUAGAGCUGGAGUUGCGGGUGGCAGGGCCGUGUGGGCCCCACAAGCCUGCCCAUCGCCACUAGGGGGGUGGUGGCGGAGCAGGGGCUUGUGGCCCACUGGCCCACCCCCUGAGGUGGAACUUGGUGCAUAUAUUUUUGAUAUUUUCCAAAACUGCUCCCCGUAAAUUUUUAGGACGUUUGGAGAACUUUGAUUUCUGCACAAAAAUAACACCAAGGCAAUUCUGCUGAAAACAGC
RNAcentral lists this long non-coding RNA (297 nucleotides) under Hordeum vulgare. RNAcentral's name for it is "long non-coding RNA (HVUL_LNC009594)". Lineage: Eukaryota; Viridiplantae; Streptophyta; Magnoliopsida; Poales; Poaceae. The record is from RNAcentral.